RNAcentral lists this ribosomal RNA (209 nucleotides) under Alexandrium margalefii. RNAcentral describes it as "partial Bacterial large subunit ribosomal RNA". It matches the Rfam family "Bacterial large subunit ribosomal RNA", at positions 1953 to 2161 of the family's 2925-position model. The record is from RNAcentral. Lineage: Eukaryota; Dinophyceae; Gonyaulacales; Pyrocystaceae.
AAGGUAGCGAAAUGCCUUGUCGGGUAAGUUCCGACCUGCACGAAUGGCGUAACGACUUCCCCACUGUCUCCAGUAUAGACUCAGCGAAAUUGAAUUCCCCGUGAAGAUGCGGGGUUCCUGCGGUCAGACGGAAAGACCCCAUGAACCUUUACUAUAGCUUUGCGCUGGCACUUGUGUCGGCAUGUGCAGGAUAGGUGGUAGGCUUUGAA